This 492-nucleotide ribosomal RNA is filed under the name uncultured bacterium. Its description in RNAcentral is "partial 16S ribosomal RNA". It matches the Rfam family "Bacterial small subunit ribosomal RNA", at positions 29 to 507 of the family's 1533-position model. The record is from RNAcentral.
AGUGAACGCUGGCGGUAGGCCUAACACAUGCAAGUCGAACGGCAGCACAGUAAGAGCUUGCUCUUACGGGUGGCGAGUGGCGGACGGGUGAGGAAUACAUCGGAAUCUACUUUUUCGUGGGGGAUAACGUAGGGAAACUUACGCUAAUACCGCAUACGACCUACGGGUGAAAGCAGGGGAUCUUCGCACCUUGCGCGAUUGAAUGAGCCGAUGUCGGAUUAGCUAGUUGGCGGGGUAAAGGCCCACCAAGGCGACGAUCCGUAGCUGGUCUGAGAGGAUGAUCGGCCACACUGGAACUGAGACACGGUCCAGACUCCUACGGGAGGCAGCAGUGGGGAAUAUUGGACAAUGGGCGCAAGCCUGAUCCAGCCAUACCGCGUGAGUGAAGAAGGCCUUCGGGUUGUAAAGCCCUUUUGUUGGGAAAGAAAAGCAGCAGGUUAAUACCCCGCUGUUCUGACGGUACCCAAAGAAUAAGCACCGGCUAACUUCGUG